This 205-nucleotide microRNA precursor is filed under the name Oryza glumipatula. RNAcentral describes it as "MIR812 microRNA precursor family". It matches the Rfam family "MIR812 microRNA precursor family". The record is from Rfam by way of RNAcentral. Lineage: Eukaryota; Viridiplantae; Streptophyta; Magnoliopsida; Poales; Poaceae.
AAAAAGACAAACCCUGGGUUUCCAUGUCCAACGUUUGACUGUCCGUCUUAUAUGAUUUUUUUUAUAAUUAGUAUUUCAUUAUUGUUAGAUGAUAAAACAUGAUUAAUACUUUAUGCGUGACUUAUCUUUUUAAUUAUUUUUAUAAUUUUUUUAAAUAAGACGGAUGGUCAAACGUUGGACACGGAAACCCAGGGUUUGUCUUUUU